Long non-coding RNA from Haliotis rubra (blacklip abalone), 1024 nucleotides. RefSeq lists it as uncharacterized. The transcript is spliced from 2 exons. NCBI's taxonomy places the organism in Eukaryota, Metazoa, Mollusca, Gastropoda, Lepetellida, Haliotidae. The record is from RefSeq and is a predicted model, not a curated record.
AUAGAAGCAAUUUUAUUGAGGAUAAACAUUCAUAACAUCACAUUUUGAUCUCUCAAAAUGAAAGAGAAAGAAGAAAAUAUAUAAUAAAUAUAGAUUGUAUAACAUGUAAUUGAUGAUAACAGCAACUUAAAAGCUAAAAGGAAAUACUAUACCAAGUUAGCGCCUCAGCUUAUGAGAUCGGCUUAUCUACGGUAACAUGUGAUAUAUUUAGGAGGAAAAUCAGAGGUCUAUAAUGAAAUUAUAAUAGCUGUAGGAUUUCACGUGGAAUACUUUAACCCUAUACAGUGAGUAUGUUUUGGAAUUGUUAUUAUGUUGAGUAAUAUUACCAUUUGUUUUUGAAUAGAUAAAACAUGUAGAGCAUUCAUCAAUGUCUGAAAUAAUGUGAAUGUAACGAACACAUCCAUAUGUGUUGUUUUACUUUUGAUACGUGAACUUAAAUCAACAGAUAUUGUUUUAUUUUUUUUUAAAUAUUACGAUAAUGGCAGGAUUAUACUUUCUUUCCAUUUAAAAUUAAAUGAUCCUGUGGGAGGGUAAAUGUCCCCCAUUUCUUCUGGGAACAAAGACGGAGGUCGGUGUGUCCUUUUUCAUUUCUUUAUAUCUAUGUUGUUAAACCCUAUAUAUUCACUUUCAUUUCUCACAAGAUGUUUCUAUGACACACCAAAAUUGGGUCAGCUAUUGGCAUACCAACCCAUUUUGAUCAGAUUUAUGUUUCUUGCCAUUGGACUUUUAAUGACUCGAAAUGGCACGUAAACUUGACAUCUUCUCUGCAAAUUGCCAAGGCUUGAACAAUGAAAAAAAGAGAUUCAAUGUGAUUGAAAAUAUGAAAAAACUAAUUGGUAACAUGUAUUUAAUCCAGGAUACAGACUCUACUGAAAAUAUUGAACAGAAAGUCAAAUUAGAAUGGUGCUCUUCAGAAACCUGGCUUUAAUAUACCCUGGAUAUAUUAUACCCUAGACCAAACAACACAUGGGGUUAAAGCGGCCUAGGCUAGAAUAUACCCUGGAUAUAUUAUGGCCAAGGCCAA